RNAcentral lists this long non-coding RNA (357 nucleotides) under Nicotiana tabacum (common tobacco). Its description in RNAcentral is "long non-coding RNA (NTAB_LNC004391)". The record is from RNAcentral. Lineage: Eukaryota; Viridiplantae; Streptophyta; Magnoliopsida; Solanales; Solanaceae.
AGAUUGUUGAAACACUUUCACUAUUGUUUUAAGCUUCAAAUACUCCUGGUAGGUGUUCUGUUUUCACAAAACCAUAACAAGCAAAUCAAUUUACUCAAAGGUAGUCACCAACAUUAACUUUUAUAAUCUUGGUUUGCCCACUGGUAUUUCAAAAAGCUUUCGAGUUCCGACUAACCAAAAUCUUGUGAAAGGAAAUUGAAGCUUACUCUUCCUAGAUAGGUCAAUGUCAGAAGAAGAAAGCGAAGAACUCAGAGAGAGGAGAGAAUUGUCGGAAGUUGGAACUCACUGGAGAAGUCAUCGGCGAUGCUUUGGGAAGAAGGGGAGAAAUAUGAGAAAUUGGGGAUUUAGGGCUUUUCU